Molecule: ribosomal RNA, 468 nt
Filed under: uncultured bacterium
Lineage: Bacteria
Description: partial 16S ribosomal RNA
Rfam family: Bacterial small subunit ribosomal RNA
Source: RNAcentral
GACGAACGCUGGCGGCGGGCUUAACACAUGCAAGUCGAACGGCAAGGCCCUGCUUUUGUGGUGUUCUCGAGUGGCGAACGGGUGAGUAACACGUGUGUAACCUGACCUUCACUUUCGUGUAACUUCAGGAAACGGGGGCUAAUACCGGAUAGGAGCUCCUGCUGCAUGGUGGGGGGUGGAUAUUUUCGGCCGUAGGGGAUGGACGCGCGGCUUAUCAGCUUGUUGGUUGGGGGGGGGCUUACCAAGCCUGUGACGGGUCGCCGGCCUGAGAGGGUGACCGGCCACAUUGGGACUGCGAUACGCCGCAGACUCCUACGUGAGGCAGCAGUCGCGAAUAUUGCACAAUGGUAGCAAGCCUGAUGCAGAAACGCCGCGUGCGGGAUGACCGCCUUCGGGGUGUAAACAGCUUUCGCCUGUGACGAAGCGUGAGUGACGGUAAUGAGUAAAGAAGCACCGGCUAACUACGUG